Molecule: ribosomal RNA, 376 nt
Filed under: uncultured Latescibacterota bacterium
Lineage: Bacteria; Pseudomonadati; Candidatus Latescibacterota
Description: bacterial SSU rRNA
Rfam family: Bacterial small subunit ribosomal RNA
Source: RNAcentral
ACGGUUUCCUCUUCGGAGGCACCUGCACAGGUGCUGCAUGGCUGUCGUCAGCUCGUGUCGUGAGAUGUUGGGUUAAGUCCCGCAACGAGCGCAACCCUUAUCCCCAGUUGCCAUCAGGUAAAGCUGGGAACGUCUGGGGAGACUGCCGGUGAUAAACCGGAGGAAGGCGGGGAUGACGUCAAGUCCUCAUGGCCCUUACAUCCCGGGCUACACACGUGCUACAAUGGCAGGUACAGAGGGCUGCGAAGCCGCGAGGUGGAGCGAAUCCCAGAAAACCUGUCUCAGUCCGGAUUGAAGUCUGCAACUCGACUUCAUGAAGGCGGAAUCGCUAGUAACCGCGAAUCAGCAGGUCGCGGUGAAUACGUUCCCGGGCCUU